RNAcentral lists this ribosomal RNA (253 nucleotides) under uncultured bacterium. RNAcentral describes it as "partial 16S ribosomal RNA". It matches the Rfam family "Bacterial small subunit ribosomal RNA", at positions 524 to 776 of the family's 1533-position model. The record is from RNAcentral.
UCCGGAGGGUGCAAGCGUUGUUCGGAUUUACUGGGCGUAAAGGGCGUGUAGGCGGUUCGCUAAGACAGAUGUGAAAUCCCUUGGCUUAACCAAGGAACGGCAUUUGUGACUAGCUAACUAGAGUACAGGAGAGGGAAGUGGAAUUCCCAGUGUAGAAGUGAAAUUCAUAGAUAUUGGGAGGAACACCGGUGGCGAAGGCGGCUUUCUGGGCAGAUACUGACGCUGAGACGCGAAAGCGUGGGUAGCAAACAGG